AUUGAACGCUGGCGGAAUGCUUUACACAUGCAAGUCGAACGGCAGCACGGGGCAACCUGGUGGCGAGUGGCGAACGGGUGAGUAAUAUAUCGGAACGUGCCCAAUCGUGGGGGAUAACGUAGCGAAAGUUACGCUAAUACCGCAUACGAUCUACGGAUGAAAGCGGGGGAUCGCAAGACCUCGCGCGAAUGGAGCGGCCGAUAUCAGAUUAGGUAGUUGGUGGGGUAAAGGCUCACCAAGCCAACGAUCUGUAGCUGGUCUGAGAGGACGACCAGCCACACUGGAACUGAGACACGGUCCAGACUCCUACGGGAGGCAGCAGUGGGGAAUUUUGGACAAUGGGCGCAAGCCUGAUCCAGCAACGCCGCGUGAGGGAUGACGGCC
This 384-nucleotide ribosomal RNA is filed under the name uncultured bacterium. Its description in RNAcentral is "bacterial SSU rRNA". It matches the Rfam family "Bacterial small subunit ribosomal RNA", at positions 29 to 416 of the family's 1533-position model. The record is from RNAcentral.